UGAGGAAUAUUGGUCAAUGGGCGGGGAGCCUGAACCAGCCAAGCCGCGUGAGGGAAGAAGGUACAGCGUAUCGUAAACCUCUUUUGUCAGGGAACAAAGGCGGGGACUAGUCCCCGGAUGAGGGUACCUGAAGAAAAAGCAUCGGCUAACUCCGUGCC
RNAcentral lists this ribosomal RNA (158 nucleotides) under uncultured bacterium. RNAcentral's name for it is "partial 16S ribosomal RNA". It matches the Rfam family "Bacterial small subunit ribosomal RNA", at positions 355 to 509 of the family's 1533-position model. The record is from RNAcentral.